This is a long non-coding RNA of Oreochromis niloticus (Nile tilapia), 535 nucleotides long. RefSeq lists it as uncharacterized. The transcript has 2 exons. The record is from RefSeq and is a predicted model, not a curated record. NCBI's taxonomy places the organism in Eukaryota, Metazoa, Chordata, Actinopteri, Cichliformes, Cichlidae.
CAACAGACCCCUCUGGAACCAGGUCAAGAGACAAGCUAGUGAAUUCCUCUUGGUGUGAUGAUUGGUGACCGCAGCUACACAUUUAAGGAGUAACGUAGUUAAAGUAACGAUCGGACAGGUUGCUGACUCUAAACCUCUACAGAUGGCCCCCAGUGCAACCCUUCAGCCUCCUAGUAAAUGCACCUAUGGUACAAAUUUGAACAACCUGGGUGACUUCCUUCCUGUCACCGAGUUGUAGCAUUCACAAGAUUUUCAGAAAACUUGACCUUUGACCUUGAGGUCAAGGUCACUGAUAUUCAAACUGACCCCAAAACUUUAGUAGAUGCACCUAUGGUAUCAAUUCAAAAUCCUACGCCCCUUGUUCUGGAGUUACUGUCUUCAUCACCAUUUUAUUUCACUAUCUGUUAAUAAGAUAUUAUUUGUGACACAUAGUUACUAUUAAAGCGGUUAAUGAGAAUCCACAUCUGAUUACAGUAUAAUACACUGCUUAUUUAUGUAUAAUCAUCAUCAAUAAAUCUGUUCAAAACAGAAGCUA